Molecule: ribosomal RNA, 400 nt
Filed under: uncultured bacterium
Lineage: Bacteria
Description: bacterial SSU rRNA
Rfam family: Bacterial small subunit ribosomal RNA
Source: RNAcentral
GAGGAAUAUUGCACAAUGGAGGAAACUCUGAUGCAGCAACGCCGCGUGGAGGAUGACGCAUUUCGGUGUGUAAACUCCUUUUAAGAGGGAAGAUUAUGACGGUACCUCUUGAAUAAGCACCGGCUAACUCCGUGCCAGCAGCCGCGGUAAUACGGAGGGUGCAAGCGUUACUCGGAAUCACUGGGCGUAAAGGGUGCGUAGGCUGGCUUCUAAGUCAGAUGUGAAAUCCAAUGGCUUAACCAUUGAACUGCAUUUGAAACUGGGAGCCUAGAGUUCAGAAGGGGCAGAUGGAAUUAGUGGUGUAGGGGUAAAAUCCGUAGAUAUCACUAGGAAUAUCAAAAGCGAAGGCGAUCUGCUGGGAUGAUACUGACGCUGAGGCACGAAAGCGUGGGGAGCAAAC